RNAcentral lists this long non-coding RNA (700 nucleotides) under Homo sapiens (human). RNAcentral describes it as "HSALNT0199993". Lineage: Eukaryota; Metazoa; Chordata; Mammalia; Primates; Hominidae. The record is from RNAcentral.
GCUACGGCCACCACUGUUGUUGUGAAGCCCCGACGCCGCCGCUCACUCCGCCAUGUUGCCGCCCCCUGCCUGCGGUAGCAGCCACUGCGCCUGCGCACAGCCUCCGGGGGGGCGGAGCCCUCGGUGCACCCCCUCUUUUGCCCUGCCCUCCUUCUCUUCCCACCCACCCACCCCGACACCCCUCGUCCCUCCCCCAACCACCCCGAACGGAUAGACAGGCACGUACAAUUCAGAGGACUUUCGAAAUUAUCUAAAAACAUGGGUGAUUCUCACUGCCAGCCUUGUCUGUGAGAAAAGUACAUAUCUAUGUCUGCACAGAUACGAGACAAAAAAUAAACCUUUAAUUUUUAAAAAUUAAAAUGUACACAGUAAUCUUGCUGUUAGUAUUGAAUUAAAACUAAAUAGGCAUGACUGUUCCUUGAAAGGAAUGAUAUAAUUUUCUUUAAUAUUUCAUGAGGUCUUCCCUUUUCAAUAAAGAUUAUUGCAAGUCACCAGAAAUAUUAGGUAUCUUGAGGUAUAUUCAGAUCGUUUUAAUUGUCCUCUCAAAUGAAAAAGGUCAAUAUACAAAUCCACCAUAAUCAGUUUUGUUAUUAUUCAUAUUUAAUUGGACCUGCCAGUCAAGUUAACUCCCAGGAUAUGGGAACACGGUAAAAUUCUAAGUACCACAGGUUAUAAAAAAGUUCCUCAAAACCAGUACUUA